Molecule: transfer RNA, 82 nt
Filed under: Paraburkholderia sartisoli
Lineage: Bacteria; Pseudomonadati; Pseudomonadota; Betaproteobacteria; Burkholderiales; Burkholderiaceae
Description: tRNA_Ala_TGC
Rfam family: tRNA
About the family: Transfer RNA (tRNA) molecules are approximately 80 nucleotides in length.
Source: RNAcentral
GACGACAUGGCCGAGAUUCGCUCGGGAAAAGGCGGCCGGCUUGCAGUCGGCACGAUCAUGGGUGCGAUUCCCGCUGUCGUCG